CUCUUCCUCAAGGCGCGACCAACUCAGUUGCGCAUAUGAUGAAUGGGAUGAAUAAGGUAUUGAGAGAUUUUAUUCCAGAAAAGACUAUGCCUUUUCAGGAUGAUGUUCCUAUAAAAGGGUGCAGAGAAGGAGACAAGGAUGAAACUUUAGAUAAGAGAGGGUGUCGCAAAUAUGUUGUUGAUCAUAUACAAGAUUGUGAAAAGAUUUUAACUUGGCUUGGAGAAGUUCAUCUUACAUUAUCGGAUAUGAAGUCCAUAUUUGGAG
RNAcentral lists this long non-coding RNA (264 nucleotides) under Physcomitrium patens. RNAcentral's name for it is "long non-coding RNA (PPAT_LNC001577)". The record is from RNAcentral. Lineage: Eukaryota; Viridiplantae; Streptophyta; Bryopsida; Funariales; Funariaceae.